Ruditapes philippinarum (Manila clam) is the source of this 347-nucleotide long non-coding RNA. RefSeq lists it as uncharacterized. NCBI's taxonomy places the organism in Eukaryota, Metazoa, Mollusca, Bivalvia, Venerida, Veneridae. The record is from RefSeq and is a predicted model, not a curated record. The transcript has 3 exons.
GUUUUGUCUUUGUUGAAGCGGCUUUGUAAAAUUUAAGUUCAGACAUUUUCUAAGUGUUUUAAAUUUAUUUAAAAUUUGGAUUAUUGAUAGUUGAAAUUACAGCACAGAGAGUUUGGAAGUAUGUGUGUUUUGGAGAAGAUGAUGUAAUAUGAUAUAAUUGUACAUUCAGUUCCACAAACUGAGUGUCGAUUGAUUUGAUCGAUUCGAUUGAAUGAGAUUUAUUGACGAUUCAUUGACGAUUCAUUUAGUUUGUCGAUCAUUGAUUGGUUUACUGAUGUUUGGAUAUAUAUGUAAGAUUGAUGUACAUGUAUGUGAACUGGAAGAUAAAUAAAUACAUUAGAACUGUG